RNAcentral lists this ribosomal RNA (254 nucleotides) under uncultured bacterium. Its description in RNAcentral is "partial 16S ribosomal RNA". It matches the Rfam family "Bacterial small subunit ribosomal RNA", at positions 524 to 776 of the family's 1533-position model. The record is from RNAcentral.
UACGUAGGGUGCAGGCGUUUAAUCGGAAUUACUGGGCGUAAAGCGUGCGCAGGCGGUUUGCUAAGACAGGUGUGAAAUCCCCGGGCUUAACCUGGGAACUGCGCUUGUAACUGGCAAGCUGGAGUGUGGCAGAGGGGGGUGGAAUUCCACGUGUAGCAGUGAAAUGCGUAGAGAUGCGGAGGAACACCGAUGGCGAAGGCAGCCCCCUGGGCUAACACUGACGCUCAGGCACGAAAGCGUGGGGAGCAAACAGG